UGCCCCUCCUCCCUGGUUUGAGGAAGCAGGAAAAGGUACCCGCGAGAGACAGCCAGCAGUUCUGUGGAGCAGCGGUGGCCGGCUAGGAUGGGCUCUCUCUGGGGUCUGGCUCUGCCCCUUUUCUUCUUCUGCUGGGAGGUUGGGGUCUCUGGGAGCUCUGCAGGCCCCAGCACCCGCAGAGCAGACACUGCGAUGACAACGGACGACACAGAAGUGCCCGCUAUGACUCCAGCACCGGGCCACGCCGCUCUGGAAGCUCAAACGCUGAGCGCUGAGACCUCUUCUAGGGCCUCAACCCCAGUCGGCCCCAUUCCAGAAGCAGAGACCAGGGGAGCCAAGAGAAUUUCCCCUGCAAGAGAGACCAGGAGUUUCACAAAAACAUCUCCCAACUUCGUGGUGCUGAUCACCACCUCUGUGGAGACAUCAGCCGCCAGUGGCAGCCCCGAGGGAGCUGGAAUGACCACAGUUCAGACCAUCACAGGCAGUGAUCCCGAGGAAGCCAUCUUUGACACCCUUUGCACCGAUGACAGCUCUGAAGAGGCAAAGACACUCACAAUGGACAUAUUGACAUUGGCUCACACCUCCACAGAAGCUAAGGGCCUGUCCUCAGAGAGCAGCGCCUCUUCCGACGGCCCCCAUCCAGUCAUCACCCCCUCACGGGCCUCAGAGAGCGGCGCCUCUUCCGACGGCCCCCAUCCAGUCAUCACCCUGUCACGGGCCUCAGAGAGCGGCGCCUCUUCCGACGGCCCCCAUCCAGUCAUCACCCUGUCACGGGCCUCAGAAAGCGGCGCCUCUUCUGACGGCCCCCAUCCAGUCAUCACCCCCUCAUGGUCCCCGGGAUCUGAUGUCACUCUCCUCGCUGAAGCCCUGGUGACUGUCACCCACAUUGAGGUUAUCAAUUGCAGCAUCACAGAAAUAGAAACAAUGACUUCCAGCAUCCCUGGGGCCUCAGACACAGAUCUCAUCCCCACGGAAGGGGUGAAGGCCUCGUCCACCUCCGAUCCACCAGCUCUGCCUGACUCCACUGAUGCAAAACCACACAUCACUGAGGCCACAGCCUCUGCCGAGACCCUGUCCACAGCCGGCACCACAGAGUCAGCCGCACCUGAUGCCACGGUUGGGACCCCACUCCCCACCAACAGCGCCAUAGAAAGAGAAGUGACAGCACCCAGGGCCACGACCCUCAGUGGAGCUCUGGCCACAGGGAAUCCCCUGGAAGAAACCUCAGCCCUCUCUGUUGAGACACCAAGUUACGUGAAAGUCUCAGGAGCAGCUCCGGUCUCCAUAGAGGCUGGGUCAGCAGUGGGCAAAACAACUUCCUUUGCUGGGAGCUCCGCUUCCUCCUACAGCCCCUCGGAAGCCGCCCUCAAGAACUUCACCCCUUCAGAGACACUGACCACGGACAUCGCAACCAAGGGGCCCUUCCCCACCAGCAGGGACCCUCUUCCUUCUGUCCCUCCGACUACAACCAACAGCAGCCGAGGGACGAACAGCACCUUAGCCAAGACCACAACCUCAGCGAAGACCACGAUGAAGCGCCCAACAGCCACGCCCACGACUGCCCGGACGAGGCCGACCACAGACGUGAGCGCAGGUGAAAAUGGAGGUUUCCUCCUCCUGCGGCUGAGUGUGGCUUCCCUGGAAGACCUCACUGACCCCAGAGUGGCAGAAAGGCUGAUGCAGCAGGUGAGUGGGCACUUAUCGGGCCAGGGGAGUAGAGGAAGGGGUGAGGUUCGCAGGGGCUGCAGGGAAGACCCGCAGGACACAGAAGAGCAGCUACCGCACUUGGAAGGGAGUCUCGUUUCUUAUGGAGAAUUAGGAGCUGAAUCUGAGGAUCUCUGCCUGGCUUUGCUUCUGCCUGCCUUCUCCGAGUUCUUCAUUUCCUUCUCUGCAAUGUAAACAUGUGACUCCUGGAGCCCCCAAUUUCUUCUGGUCCUUGGAAGCUUGGCCUUCUGGCCCCUGAGGCAAAGCUCCACCGGGAACUCCACGCCCACGCGCCUCACUUCCAGGUCUCCUUACUGCGUGUCAGGAGAGGCUAAUGGACAUCAGCUGCAGCCAGGCAUGUCCCGUAUGCCAAAAGAGGGUGCUGCCCCUAGCCUGGGCCCCCACCGACAGACUGCAGCUGCGUUACUGUGCUGAGAGGUACCCAGAAGGUUCCCAUGAAGGGCAGCAGGUCCAAGCCCCUGACCCCAGAUGUGGCAACAGGACCCUCGCUCACAUCCACCGGAGUGUAUGUGUGGGGAGGGGCUUCACCUGUUCCCAGAGGUGUCCUUGGACUCACCUUGGCACAUGUUCUGUGUUUCAGUAAAGAGAGACCUGAUCACCCAUCUGUGUGCUUCCAUCCUGCAUUAAAAUUCAUUCAGUGUGGCCCAGA
Pan troglodytes (chimpanzee) is the source of this 2374-nucleotide RNA transcript. It is a transcript of the gene named mucin 20, cell surface associated, with no coding region annotated. The record is from RefSeq and is a predicted model, not a curated record. The transcript has 4 exons. NCBI's taxonomy places the organism in Eukaryota, Metazoa, Chordata, Mammalia, Primates, Hominidae.